AUACGUAGGUGGCAAGCGUUGUCCGGAAUUAUUGGGCGUAAAGCGCGCGCAGGUGGUUCCUUAAGUCUGAUGUGAAAGUCCCCGGCUCGACCGGGGAGGGUCAUUGGUAACUGGGGAACUUGAGUGCAGAAGAGGAUAGUGGAAUUCCGAGUGUAGCGGUGAAAUGCGUAGAGAUUUGGAGGAACACCAGUGGCGAAGGCGACUGUCUGGUCUGUAACUGACACUGAGGCGCGAAAGCGUGGGGAGCAAACAGGAUUAGAUACCCUGGUAGUCCACGCCGUAAACGAUGAGUGCUAAGUGUUGGGGGGUUUCCGCCCCUCAGUGCUGCAGCUAACGCAUUAAGCACUCCGCCUGGGGAGUACGGUCGCAAGACUGAGACUCAAAGGAAUUGACGGGG
RNAcentral lists this ribosomal RNA (397 nucleotides) under uncultured bacterium. RNAcentral's name for it is "partial 16S ribosomal RNA". It matches the Rfam family "Bacterial small subunit ribosomal RNA", at positions 523 to 918 of the family's 1533-position model. The record is from RNAcentral.